RNAcentral lists this ribosomal RNA (490 nucleotides) under uncultured bacterium. Its description in RNAcentral is "partial 16S ribosomal RNA". It matches the Rfam family "Bacterial small subunit ribosomal RNA", at positions 30 to 507 of the family's 1533-position model. The record is from RNAcentral.
AUUGAACGCUGGCGGCAGGCCUAACACAUGUAAGUCGAACGGUAACAGGAAGAAGCUUGCUUCUUUGCUGACGAGUGGCGGACGGGUGAGUAAUGUCUGGGAAACUGCCUGAUGGCGGGGGAUAACUACUGGAAACGGUAGCUAAUACCGCAUAACGUCGCAAGACCAAAGAGGGGGACCUUCGGGCCUCUUGCCAUCGGAUGUGCCCAGAUGGGAUUAGCUAGUAGGUGGGGUAACGGCUCACCUAGGCGACGAUCCCUAGCUGGUCUGAGAGGAUGACCAGCCACACUGGAACUGAGACACGGUCCAGACUCCUACGGGAGGCAGCAGUGGGGAAUAUUGCACAAUGGGCGCAAGCCUGAUGCAGCCAUGCCGCGUGUAUGAAGAAGGCCUUCGGGUUGUAAAGUACUUUCAGCGGGGAGGAGGGGAGUAAAGUUAAUACCUUUGCUCAUUGACGUUACCCGAAGAAGAAGCACCGGCUAACUCCGUG